RNAcentral lists this ribosomal RNA (702 nucleotides) under Acinetobacter baumannii. Its description in RNAcentral is "bacterial SSU rRNA". It matches the Rfam family "Bacterial small subunit ribosomal RNA", at positions 1 to 648 of the family's 1533-position model. Lineage: Bacteria; Pseudomonadati; Pseudomonadota; Gammaproteobacteria; Moraxellales; Moraxellaceae. The record is from RNAcentral.
GAUGAGCCAGAAUUGGCACCUUGUCUAUAAAUAAGGUGCAAAAUGAUUUUAACUGAAGAGUUUGAUCAUGGCUCAGAUUGAACGCUGGCGGCAGGCUUAACACAUGCAAGUCGAGCGGGGGAAGGUAGCUUGCUACUGGACCUAGCGGCGGACGGGUGAGUAAUGCUUAGGAAUCUGCCUAUUAGUGGGGGACAACAUCUCGAAAGGGAUGCUAAUACCGCAUACGUCCUACGGGAGAAAGCAGGGGAUCUUCGGACCUUGCGCUAAUAGAUGAGCCUAAGUCGGAUUAGCUAGUUGGUGGGGUAAAGGCCUACCAAGGCGACGAUCUGUAGCGGGUCUGAGAGGAUGAUCCGCCACACUGGGACUGAGACACGGCCCAGACUCCUACGGGAGGCAGCAGUGGGGAAUAUUGGACAAUGGGGGGAACCCUGAUCCAGCCAUGCCGCGUGUGUGAAGAAGGCCUUAUGGUUGUAAAGCACUUUAAGCGAGGAGGAGGCUACUUUAGUUAAUACCUAGAGAUAGUGGACGUUACUCGCAGAAUAAGCACCGGCUAACUCUGUGCCAGCAGCCGCGGUAAUACAGAGGGUGCGAGCGUUAAUCGGAUUUACUGGGCGUAAAGCGUGCGUAGGCGGCUUAUUAAGUCGGAUGUGAAAUCCCCGAGCUUAACUUGGGAAUUGCAUUCGAUACUGGUGAGCUAGAGUA